RNAcentral lists this unclassified non-coding RNA (345 nucleotides) under soil metagenome. RNAcentral describes it as "partial contains 5.8S ribosomal RNA, internal transcribed spacer 2, and large subunit ribosomal RNA". The stretch from base 1 to 120 matches the Rfam family "5.8S ribosomal RNA", at positions 35 to 154 of the family's 154-position model. The record is from RNAcentral.
GAUGAAGAACGUAGCGAAAUGCGAUAAGUAAUGUGAAUUGCAGAAUUCAGUGAAUCAUCGAGUCUUUGAACGCACAUUGCGCCCCCUGGUAUUCCGGGGGGCAUGCCUGUCCGAGCGUCAUUGCUGCCCUCAAGCACGGCUUGUGUGUUGGGCCUCCGUCCUCCUCCCGGGGGACGGGCCCGAAAGGCAGCGGCGGCACCGCGUCCGGUCCUCGAGCGUAUGGGGCUUCGUCACCUGCUCUUGUAGGCCCGGCCGGCGCUUGCCGACACAUCAAUCUUUUUUCCAGGUUGACCUCGGAUCAGGUAGGGAUACCCGCUGAACUUAAGCAUAUCAAUAAGCGGAGGA